This 443-nucleotide ribosomal RNA is filed under the name uncultured bacterium. Its description in RNAcentral is "partial 16S ribosomal RNA". It matches the Rfam family "Bacterial small subunit ribosomal RNA", at positions 338 to 795 of the family's 1533-position model. The record is from RNAcentral.
CCUACGGGGGGCUGCAGUGGGGAAUAUUGGGCAAUGGGCGCAAGCCUGACCCAGCAACGCCGCGUGAAGGAAGAAGGCUUUCGGGUUGUAAACUUCUUUUCUGAGGGACGAAGAAAGUGACGGUACCUCAGGAAUAAGCCACGGCUAACUACGUGCCAGCAGCCGCGGUAAUACGUAGGUGGCAAGCGUUAUCCGGAUUUAUUGGGUGUAAAGGGCGUGUAGGCGGGAAAGCAAGUCAGAUGUGAAAACUCAGGGCUCAACCCUGAGCCUGCAUUUGGAACUGCGUGUCUUGAGUGAUGGAGAGGCAGGCGGAAUUCCCAGUGUAGCGGUGAAAUGCGUAGAUAUUGGGAGGAACACCAGUGGCGAAGGCGGCCUGCUGGACAUUAACUGACGCUGAGGCGCGAAAGCGUGGGGAGCAAACAGGAUUAGAUACCCCUGUAGUC